ACACUCCUGCGGGAGGCAGCAGUGGGGAAUUUUGGACAAUGGGCGAAAGCCUGAUCCAGCAAUGCCGCGUGGGUGAAGAAGGCCUUCGGGUUGUAAAGCUCUUUUGUCAGGGAAGAAACGGUGAAAGCUAAUAUCUUUUGCUAAUGACGGUACCUGAAGAAUAAGCACCGGCUAACUACGUGCCAGCAGCCGCGGUAAUACGUAGGGUGCAAGCGUUAAUCGGAAUUACUGGGCGUAAAGCGUGCGCAGGCGGUUUUGUAAGUCUGAUGUGAAAUCCCCGGGCUCAACCUGGGAAUUGCAUUGGAGACUGCAAGGCUAGAAUCUGGCAGAGGGGGGUAGAAUUCCACGUGUAGCAGUGAAAUGCGUAGAUAUGUGGAGGAACACCGAUGGCGAAGGCAGCCCCCUGGGUCAAGAUUGACGCUCAUGCACGAAAGCGUGGGGAGCAAACAGGAUUAGAAACCCUUGUAGUCCCAUGA
Molecule: ribosomal RNA, 476 nt
Filed under: uncultured organism
Description: partial 16S ribosomal RNA
Rfam family: Bacterial small subunit ribosomal RNA
Source: RNAcentral